UUAAGCGACUAAGCGUACACGGUGGAUGCCCUGGCAGUCAGAGGCGAUGAAGGACGUGCUAAUCUGCGAUAAGCGUCGGUAAGGUGAUAUGAACCGUUAUAACCGGCGAUUUCCGAAUGGGGAAACCCAGUGUGAUUCGUCACACUAUCAUUAACUGAAUCCAUAGGUUAAUGAGGCGAACCGGGGGAACUGAAACAUCUAAGUACCCCGAGGAAAAGAAAUCAACCGAGAUUCCCCCAGUAGCGGCGAGCGAACGGGGAGGAGCCCAGAGCCUGAAUCAGUGUGUGUGUUAGUGGAAGCGUCUGGAAAGGCGCGCGAUACAGGGUGACAGCCCCGUACACAAAAAUGCACAUAUUGUGAGCUCGAUGAGUAGGGCGGGACACGUGGUAUCCUGUCUGAAUAUGGGGGGACCAUCCUCCAAGGCUAAAUACUCCUGACUGACCGAUAGUGAACCAGUACCGUGAGGGAAAGGCGAAAAGAACCCCGGCGAGGGGAGUGAAAAAGAACCUGAAACCGUGUACGUACAAGCAGUGGGAGCCUCUUUAUGGGGUGACUGCGUACCUUUUGUAUAAUGGGUCAGCGACUUAUAUUCUGUAGCAAGGUUAACCGAAUAGGGGAGCCGAAGGGAAACCGAGUCUUAACUGGGCGUUAAGUUGCAGGGUAUAGACCCGAAACCCGGUGAUCUAGCCAUGGGCAGGUUGAAGGUUGGGUAACACUAACUGGAGGACCGAACCGACUAAUGUUGAAAAAUUAGCGGAUGACUUGUGGCUGGGGGUGAAAGGCCAAUCAAACCGGGAGAUAGCUGGUUCUCCCCGAAAGCUAUUUAGGUAGCGCCUCGUGAAUUCAUCUCCGGGGGUAGAGCACUGUUUCGGCAAGGGGGUCAUCCCGACUUACCAACCCGAUGCAAACUGCGAAUACCGGAGAAUGUUAUCACGGGAGACACACGGCGGGUGCUAACGUCCGUCGUGAAGAGGGAAACAACCCAGACCGCCAGCUAAGGUCCCAAAGUCAUGGUUAAGUGGGAAACGAUGUGGGAAGGCCCAGACAGCCAGGAUGUUGGCUUAGAAGCAGCCAUCAUUUAAAGAAAGCGUAAUAGCUCACUGGUCGAGUCGGCCUGCGCGGAAGAUGUAACGGGGCUAAACCAUGCACCGAAGCUGCGGCAGCGACACUAUGUGUUGUUGGGUAGGGGAGCGUUCUGUAAGCCUGCGAAGGUGUACUGUGAGGUAUGCUGGAGGUAUCAGAAGUGCGAAUGCUGACAUAAGUAACGAUAAAGCGGGUGAAAAGCCCGCUCGCCGGAAGACCAAGGGUUCCUGUCCAACGUUAAUCGGGGCAGGGUGAGUCGACCCCUAAGGCGAGGCCGAAAGGCGUAGUCGAUGGGAAACAGGUUAAUAUUCCUGUACUUGGUGUUACUGCGAAGGGGGGACGGAGAAGGCUAUGUUGGCCGGGCGACGGUUGUCCCGGUUUAAGCGUGUAGGCUGGUUUUCCAGGCAAAUCCGGAAAAUCAAGGCUGAGGCGUGAUGACGAGGCACUACGGUGCUGAAGCAACAAAUGCCCUGCUUCCAGGAAAAGCCUCUAAGCAUCAGGUAACAUCAAAUCGUACCCCAAACCGACACAGGUGGUCAGGUAGAGAAUACCAAGGCGCUUGAGAGAACUCGGGUGAAGGAACUAGGCAAAAUGGUGCCGUAACUUCGGGAGAAGGCACGCUGAUAUGUAGGUGAAGUCCCUUGCGGAUGGAGCUGAAAUCAGUCGAAGAUACCAGCUGGCUGCAACUGUUUAUUAAAAACACAGCACUGUGCAAACACGAAAGUGGACGUAUACGGUGUGACGCCUGCCCGGUGCCGGAAGGUUAAUUGAUGGGGUUAGCGGUAACGCGAAGCUCUUGAUCGAAGCCCCGGUAAACGGCGGCCGUAACUAUAACGGUCCUAAGGUAGCGAAAUUCCUUGUCGGGUAAGUUCCGACCUGCACGAAUGGCGUAAUGAUGGCCAGGCUGUCUCCACCCGAGACUCAGUGAAAUUGAACUCGCUGUGAAGAUGCAGUGUACCCGCGGCAAGACGGAAAGACCCCGUGAACCUUUACUAUAGCUUGACACUGAACAUUGAGCCUUGAUGUGUAGGAUAGGUGGGAGGCUUUGAAGUGUGGACGCCAGUCUGCAUGGAGCCGACCUUGAAAUACCACCCUUUAAUGUUUGAUGUUCUAACGUUGGCCCCUGAUCGGGGUUGCGGACAGUGUCUGGUGGGUAGUUUGACUGGGGCGGUCUCCUCCUAAAGAGUAACGGAGGAGCACGAAGGUUGGCUAAUCCUGGUCGGACAUCAGGAGGUUAGUGCAAUGGCAUAAGCCAGCUUGACUGCGAGCGUGACGGCGCGAGCAGGUGCGAAAGCAGGUCAUAGUGAUCCGGUGGUUCUGAAUGGAAGGGCCAUCGCUCAACGGAUAAAAGGUACUCCGGGGAUAACAGGCUGAUACCGCCCAAGAGUUCAUAUCGACGGCGGUGUUUGGCACCUCGAUGUCGGCUCAUCACAUCCUGGGGCUGAAGUAGGUCCCAAGGGUAUGGCUGUUCGCCAUUUAAAGUGGUACGCGAGCUGGGUUUAGAACGUCGUGAGACAGUUCGGUCCCUAUCUGCCGUGGGCGCUGGAGAACUGAGGGGGGCUGCUCCUAGUACGAGAGGACCGGAGUGGACGCAUCACUGGUGUUCGGGUUGUCAUGCCAAUGGCACUGCCCGGUAGCUAAAUGCGGAAGAGAUAAGUGCUGAAAGCAUCUAAGCACGAAACUUGCCCCGAGAUGAGUUCUCCCUGACUCCUUGAGAGUCCUGAAGGAACGUUGAAGACGACGACGUUGAUAGGCCGGGUGUGUAAGCGCAGCGAUGCGUUGAGCUAACCGGUACUAAUGAACCGUGAGGCUUAACCUU
RNAcentral lists this ribosomal RNA (2902 nucleotides) under Escherichia coli. RNAcentral's name for it is "bacterial LSU rRNA". It matches the Rfam family "Bacterial large subunit ribosomal RNA". Lineage: Bacteria; Pseudomonadati; Pseudomonadota; Gammaproteobacteria; Enterobacterales; Enterobacteriaceae. The record is from RNAcentral.